CGCUGGCGGCGUGCCUAACACAUGCAAGUCGAACGGACGAGGGGAGCUUGCUCCCCAAGUUAGUGGCGGACGGGUGAGUAACACGUGAGCAACCUGCCCUUCGGAGGGGGACAACAGCUGGAAACGGCUGCUAAUACCGCAUAACACAGCGGGGAGGCAUCUCUCUGCUGUCAAAGAUUUAUCGCCGAAGGAUGGGCUCGCGUCUGAUUAGAUAGUUGGUGGGGUAACGGCCUACCAAGUCGACGAUCAGUAGCCGGACUGAGAGGUUGAACGGCCACAUUGGGACUGAGAUACGGCCCAGACUCCUACGGGAGGCAGCAGUGGGGAAUAUUGGGCAAUUGGGGGGCAACCCUGACCCAGCAACGCCGCGUGAAGGAAGAAGGCUUUCGGGUUGUAAACUUCUUUGACGAGGGACGAUAGUGACGGUACCUCGAAAACAAGCCACGGCUAACUACGUGCCAGCAGCCGC
Molecule: ribosomal RNA, 469 nt
Filed under: uncultured bacterium
Lineage: Bacteria
Description: bacterial SSU rRNA
Rfam family: Bacterial small subunit ribosomal RNA
Source: RNAcentral